CCUACGGGAGAAAGCAGGGGACCUUCGGGCCUUGCGCUAUCAGAUGAGCCUAGGUCGGAUUAGCUAGUUGGUGGGGUAAUGGCUCACCAAGGCGACGAUCCGUAACUGGUCUGAGAGGAUGAUCAGUCACACUGGAACUGAGACACGGUCCAGACUCCUACGGGAGGCAGCAGUGGGGAAUAUUGGACAAUGGGCGAAAGCCUGAUCCAGCCAUGCCGCGUGUGUGAAGAAGGUCUUCGGAUUGUAAAGCACUUUAAGUUGGGAGGAAGGGCAGUAAAUUAAUACUUUGCUGUUUUGACGUUACCGACAGAAUAAGCACCGGCUAACUCUGUGCCAGCAGCCGCGGUAAUACAGAGGGUGCAAGCGUUAAUCGGAAUUACUGGGCGUAAAGCGCGCGUAGGUGGUUCGUUAAGUUGGAUGUGAAAUCCCCGGGCUCAACCUGGGAACUGCAUUCAAAACUGACGAGCUAGAGUAUGGUAGAGGGUGGUGGAAUUUCCUGUGUAGCGGUGAAAUGCGUAGAUAUAGGAAGGAACACCAGUGGCGAAGGCGACCACCUGGACUGAUACUGACACUGAG
RNAcentral lists this ribosomal RNA (576 nucleotides) under Pseudomonas sp. TPT1. Its description in RNAcentral is "bacterial SSU rRNA". It matches the Rfam family "Bacterial small subunit ribosomal RNA", at positions 193 to 750 of the family's 1533-position model. Lineage: Bacteria; Pseudomonadati; Pseudomonadota; Gammaproteobacteria; Pseudomonadales; Pseudomonadaceae. The record is from RNAcentral.